This 1209-nucleotide long non-coding RNA is filed under the name Ananas comosus (pineapple). RNAcentral's name for it is "long non-coding RNA (ACOM_LNC006099)". The record is from RNAcentral. Lineage: Eukaryota; Viridiplantae; Streptophyta; Magnoliopsida; Poales; Bromeliaceae.
AGAAAAGUUCUUAUAAAAUUUGGGAAAAACUUCAAAUGUCAUUUCUGUGGUUUUACACUUUCUCACUUUAGUGCCCUGCCGUUUGUUUAAAGUGUAUCAAUUUAGUGCCCUGUGGUUUUCUUUUUAUUUUUUUGUUAUCGAUUCCACUAAUUCUUUUCGUUAAAUUAUUGGUUUAAACUAAAAAAGGGAAUUAAAGUGAAUAUUCGAUAAAUCUAGAUGGAGGUAUCUGAAGUUUUUUAUAUAUAAUUUAACGAAAUAUUAACAAAAAAGUUGACAAAAAGAUAAAAAUAAAACCACAUGAUACUAACUUGAUACACUUUAAAUCACAGAGUACUAAAGUAAAAAAAUACGAAGCCAGGGGGGUGGUAUUUGAAGUUUUUUCAUAAAAUUUUUCUUACCAAUUUCCAACAAUGGGGAGCUUCUAGAUUCAACCUAACUCCCUACAGCUUGUAGGAAAAAGAUGUCACUGCUUUCACCACCCAAAUAGUACUCACAUGCUUUUGUUGAAGACUUUUUUUUUUUCUUUUUCCUUUUUUUCCCAAUAAUCUCAUGUUGGUAAAUAUUUUUGUAUAAUUAAUAAUUAGAAGUUUGAGUUUUACUCCUUUCGGAGAUAUUAGUAUCUAUAAAUCUACAAAAUACUAUAAAUCCUUAAGAUUUUAAUCCACGUGGCGAAACCUCAACAAUUUGAGCUAUGGUGGUGGGUUCAUCUCUCUUUUUUCUAUUGGCUGGUGAUGAGCUCACACAAUGAAUGCUUACCCAUUUCUUUAUAGGCUUUGCAUUUUUCUUUCAUUUCUUUAUUGUCUGAACCCUCAUGUCUAGACUUUCCACCUUCCUUCCAUCUCUUUGCUUGAGUUCUCAUGUUGAUACAUCGUCCCUAAUGCUUGCUCACAUCUUUUCGUCUUUCGUGUCCUCGCAUCGAUACAUUAUUUCUAAAUCCUUGGCUGCCUUAUUUUUCUCAUAUUAAAUUCUCCUUUUUCGUUUUCCCCCACUACCCCACCUUCGCCGCAAUAGUUUUCCAUAUUGACAGCAAUGACGGCGAAGGCUCCUUUCGUUGCAUCCUCCGAUCUCUCCCUCUCCCUGUUGCCUAAAUCCUAAAUCCUAAAUUUUUUCCUUUUUUCGUUUCUUACGUUGUUUUAUGUUAGAUUGUAAUUCCAUUCUAUUUUACUAAAAUAUUCGUAUCAGCCGUAUCGCGCGGGCCUCUUUUCCUUU